AGGGUAGCUGGAGCUGGUUGGCUGCUGUGAGAGGGGGAAGAGUCAGUGCUUUGAGGAGCUGCCUGUGAGAAACUUCAAGGAGGGAGGAAAAUGGUGUCAGGUCACUGUCAGUUGUCAACAAGUCACAAGAAAAUAUGAAAUUCUUCUUCAAUAUGAGCACUUACUAAAGGCAUCAAAGCUGAGCUUGGCUUGCCCGAGUUCAAGAGUGCAAAGCGCUCCAAGGAGCCCAUGUUUCUGCCUGCCCAAGAAGCUCCUGUGUACAGCUUUGCCUUUCACACUUGGAGCCAACAAUCCCUGUGAAAUGGCUCCCCUCUGAAGGGAAGGCACCAAACUCCAAACACUGUGGUGGUGGAGCUCAGGGGAGCCCCUGGCAGUGUGCUGCCCCAGGGAAGCUCCACUGCAUUUCUAACCCAGCUCUGCUGGUUCUUUUUUACACAGCUUUGCGUUUUUAUUGCUUUUCAAAGGCUGAUGACUAAAUCUGACAAAAUACAAGCAUCCUGUUAUGACUCACUUUAUGUAUAUUUUAUUCUCAUGGAUUUUUACUUUGUCCUUCAUCUUUCUUUUCAAUGAACCUUCCCUUCAAUAUCCACUUAGCUGUUUCCCUUUCAUGACACAUCUCUCUUUCAUUCCUGGCGUCCAUCAUUUCUGGUACUUUGUUUUAGCACUGAUUGCUUUUUUCUUCUGAUUUUAGCAUUCCUAGAUAUUGGCUUCCCUACACUUAUGAUGCCUCUGUGGUUCCAUGGUUUCUAGUAGAUCUCAGUAGUCUUUUAUUUUUAAAACAGAAAAAUUCUCCUGAAUGAAGAAAAUUCUCCUGAAUUUUCUUUCACUUUCUCUGAUGAAGGCUGACCUGAAUUCUUUCAUCUGAUUAAGAGAUUUGUGCCCACCUUCACUCUAAGCACAGAUGUAUUUUUAUGAGUAGCAUACUAUGCAUGCUGGGUGGGAACUGUCAUGAGAAGAAGGAAAAUGGAAUUAAGCUCUUCCAGUUGAGUUCCAGACGUAAUAAAUCUCUAUUUUAGUCUUGAUUUGCAACUGAAAUGUUCAUUUGUAUUAAGAAUUUGCUCAGCUGCCAAAAUCUGUAAGCCAUGUUAGAUAUUUCCUUUUGGUGCUGAAACUGAGAACAACAUUUGUAAGAGAAUGACAGGAGGUGAAAAAUCAAAUUUGUGUGUGUUCCUAAUUUUCCCUCCCUGAAAAGAGGUCACAAGAGAAAAACAAUACCAAAAUAAAAUGCUGAUAUAUCCAAUGUU
Molecule: long non-coding RNA, 1244 nt
Organism: Zonotrichia leucophrys gambelii
Lineage: Eukaryota; Metazoa; Chordata; Aves; Passeriformes; Passerellidae
Exons: 3
Source: RefSeq, a predicted model, not a curated record